UAAUGGCUCACCAAGGCGACGAUCCCUAGCUGGUCUGAGAGGAUGAUCAGCCACACUGGAACUGAGACACGGUCCAGACUCCUACGGGAGGCAGCAGUGGGGAAUAUUGCACAAUGGGCGCAAGCCUGAUGCAGCCAUGCCGCGUGUGUGAAGAAGGCCUUCGGGUUGUAAAGCACUUUCAGUNGUGAGGAAGGUAGUGUAGUUAAUAGCUGCAUUAUUUGACGUUAGCNACAGAAGAAGCACCGGCUAACUCCGUGCCAGCAGCCGCGGUAAUACGGAGGGUGCGAGCGUUAAUCGGAAUUACUGGGCGUAAAGCGCAUGCAGGUGGUUAGUUAAGUCAGAUGUGAAAGCCCGGGGCUCAACCUCGGAACUGCAUUUGAAACUGGCAGACUAGAGUACUGUAGAGGGGGGUAGAAUUUCAGGUGU
RNAcentral lists this ribosomal RNA (426 nucleotides) under Vibrio sp. R-619. Its description in RNAcentral is "bacterial SSU rRNA". It matches the Rfam family "Bacterial small subunit ribosomal RNA", at positions 258 to 676 of the family's 1533-position model. The record is from RNAcentral. Lineage: Bacteria; Pseudomonadati; Pseudomonadota; Gammaproteobacteria; Vibrionales; Vibrionaceae.